Molecule: ribosomal RNA, 307 nt
Filed under: uncultured eukaryote
Lineage: Eukaryota
Description: partial large subunit ribosomal RNA
Rfam family: Eukaryotic large subunit ribosomal RNA
Source: RNAcentral
AUAUCAGUAAGCGGAGGAAAAGAAACUAACAAGGAUUACCUCAGUAGCGGCGAGUGAAGAGGUAAAAGCCCAAGAUGUAAAUCUAACCGUAAGGAAAGAAUUGUAAUCUAUAGGGAUUCCCGGAAGAAGUACAUGUGUCAUAAGUUACCUGGAAAGGUAUACCAUAGAGGGUGAUAGUCCCGUCUUUGGAUACAUGAACUCGUACGGGGGUCUUCUAAGAGUCGGGUAGUUUGGGAAUGCUGCCCUAAUUAGGAGAUAAACUUCUUCUAAGGCUAAAUAUUUAUAGGAGACCGAUAGCGCACAAGUA